Molecule: long non-coding RNA, 3412 nt
Filed under: Equus caballus (horse)
Lineage: Eukaryota; Metazoa; Chordata; Mammalia; Perissodactyla; Equidae
Description: lncRNA (ENSECAG00000048961.1)
Source: RNAcentral
GGGCAAGCAUCACCACAAUCCAUCCCCAUAACUCAUUUCACCUUGCAAAGCUGAAACAAAACUAUUAAACAAUAAUUCUCCAUGCUCCCCUCCCCCAGCCCCUACCAAUAUACUUUCUGUCUCUUUUGACUAACUACCUCAUCCAAGUGCGGUCCUACAGUAUUUGUCUUUUUGUGACUGGAUUAAUCCACUUAACCUAAUGUCCUCAAUGUUAAUGCAUGUUGUAGCAUGUUGCAGAAGUGUUUACCUUUUCAAGGCUGAAUAAUAUUCGAUUCACUGGAUCUACCACCUUUGGCUUAUCCAUUCAUCCAUUGAUGGACACUUGGGUUGCUUUUACAUUUUAGCUAUUGUGAAUAAUGCUGCUAUGAACAUGGGUGUACGAGCAUCUCUUUGAGAUCUUGCUUUAAAAUCUUUUCAGUAUAUAUACCCAGAAGAGAAAUGGAUGCAUCAUAUCAUAUUUUUACAUUUAAGUUUUCGAGAAAUGAUCAUAUUGUUUUUCACUGCAACUGUACCAUUUGGCAUUCACACUGACAAUAGAUAAGGGUUUCAAUUUCUCCACAUUCCUGCCAAUAAUUGCUAUUUUCUGUUUUUUUUGAUAGUAGCCAUCCUAAUGGGCAGGAGGGGCUAUCUCACUGUGGUUUUGUCUUGCAUUUCCUGUCCCUCCCCCUCCCUGGCUGGAGUCCAGAUCCUCUCCUGGUAGCUGCCCCCAAGUUCACAGUCAAGCACUCAGCUUCAGCUUUCCCAUCUGUGGCAUCUGAAUUAACCCAACCCCUCUUCACUCUGAACUUCUGAUACUCACUGGAUUCUGUCUCCCUCUUGGCCUCUCCCCUGUCCUUUGUUCCAUGUGUGUGUCUGCAUAUCUGGUGCCCACUCUUCCCCUGUGGUGUCUGAAACUCCCUCUGUCCACCUCCAUUGUGGACAUAGACACCCACCCCCUACAGGCCACUCCUUGCCUAACAGCUUGUCCUGCACCUCCCCCUGCCAUCACCUGGGCACACCCCCAAGGGGCUGCCUUCCCAGGUACUCAAUGGAAUCCAUUCACACCCCAGGCCUUGAGCCCUGCUCUGAGUGACACUGACAGGUAAUCAGAGGGCCCACUUUCUCUGGGUUGGUUCUUAGCUUCCUCCCCAUCUUUGAACUACACCUGACACUCUUUGUGCUCAGAGUCUUUAUUUUUAUUUUAUCUGAAGAGACUGCUCAGACUCUAUGGCUUAAAAAUGAAAACACUGUUGUGUACCUGCUGUAGACAGAAGCAUUGAAAGAGCAGACUCUGCAGAAACAUGUAGGAAUGUGUACUUUCUGAUGUCGUUAUUGGCAUUUGUAUCAGUUUCCAUGAAUGCACUUGGUUCCCUGGGCCAACAUCAAGGCGUCUUCAGGUCUCUGCUCUCCCUGGAGGCUCUGAGGGAGAAGCAUUCUCUUGACUUCUAGCUGCAGGAGACUGCCCUCAUUUCUUGCAUCAUGGCAGCGUCACAUGCCUUUCCUCCCCCUGCUUCUAUCCUGACAUCUCUUCUUACUCAGGCUUUCUGCCCAUCUUUUAGAAGUACCCUGGGAUUGCAUUUAGGAUGAUCCAGAAUAUUCUCACCAUCUCAGAUCCUUAAAUUCAUCAUAUUUGCAAAGUCCCUUUUGCCAUAGCAAGUGACAAUCACAGGUUCCAGGAAUGAGACUCUGGAUACCUUUGGCAGCCAUUAUUCAGCCUACAAAGUAUGAAAAGAACUUCAAAAUGUUCAGAAUUUAUAUUAAAAAGCUUUUUCAGAAACCAUCCUUUUCAAAACCUGUUUGUUUGAUUGUGGUAAAGUGCUGUCUCCUUAUUUGUACCUCUUUACGCUGCCCCAGUACUCACUGUGGGAAAGUCCCUGCUGCCUCUCACCGCCAAACAUUUGCACUGUUGGUGUCACACCUGCUAGCCUGGUUGGAGGUGGUGCCUGUGGAUGGCCCAUGGUGCUGGGCGCCUUGCCACAAACUCAUUGGAUAACAGCACUUCUGCUGUGUGAGAUGAGCAGAUAUCAUAUCCUUUACUUCUUUCAUGUCUGACUCCCCAGGGAUGAAGUCAUAACUGGGACUGAAGUAGAAAGACACACUCAGUGUAUUUUCCAAAAAAUUUGGUUAUGUCAUGUGUAAAGGACAAGGCUGUAGCAGUUCUAGUGGAAAUUGUGGUUGCAUUUCUCAUGGAUGAGAUAAGGACUUCUCUAACAGACUAAUGAUAUGGCAAAAGAAAUAGUCCAUGCUGUUCUUAAACCAGAUCUCUAAUUUCUAAUCAACAGGCUGCCUGUAUUUGUAGUGGGCAAGAUGGUUCCGGUUCUCAUAACCGGUUGGUUGUGAAAUGUUAAAAAAUAUUGUCAUUUUUUUUUAAAGCUCAUGUGUUGAAAACCAACAGCAAUGAUUGUGGUUUGAUUACUGCUUCCAAACCGAGCAAGUUAUGCACAGCCCAAGAUCAUCCUGAAAUGUUUAAAAGACAAAAUCACAUCUGGAAAUAGUGUUUAGGGUUACACAACAUUGUGAAUGUAUUUAAUGCCAAUGAAUUCUGUGCUGAAAAAUGGUUAAAAUGGCCAUUUUUACUUAUAUGUAUUUUACUACAAUAAAAAAUAAAGGUAGAGAAAAAAAGGUAUGACCCCUCCUUACUGCAAUGGGCUUGAAACUUAUAACCUAACAGUGAAAUGUUCAAGAUAAGUUGGCAAUUGGAGUGUGAUAUGUGUUAACGGAAGUGCUUGAAUGUUUGAGAGUUGGGAAGCCACUGUAACCACAACAGAUGGGAUGAGGAGGAUGACAUGAGAGUGUAGGCAGGGCCCAGUUUUCAUACGACCAUGCUACUCAAAGGGUGAUCUGCAGGGAGCCCAGGAGCGUGGGCCAGAAAGUAGAUGAAGCACAUUGCUAAGUGCCCUGUUAAUUCCACCUGACAUUGUCUUCAUUGCAAGAAUUGCUUGACCAAACAACUGAGUUGACUGACCAUCCAGUGGAAAUUUCCUAUCUUGUUGCAGGCCAGCACUCUUUAUUGUGAUACAACUACCUGCUUAUCUGACUCACACACCAAGCCACACAAUUUCCCCUGCCCUCAAUUGUCCAGGGGUCGAGUCCCAGGAAACUAGAGACUCCCUGUAACUCCAAGCCUCCAGGAUGAUGCAAUUAGACAAUAUUAAACUGUUUGCUCUGCCCUGCAAUGACACCUUUCUUGGAAAGCAAAAUAAAACCUCUGACUACUUCCUCUCCUCCCAAUGAUCUUCCACAACUUUCCCUAAACCUGGUCUUUCAGCUGGGUCCCUGUAUGGUGUGCGGUGUCCCUCCUAUCUAGAGGAGCUCCCCCCGGUACACAGUUGUAUAUUCUUCAUUGUGGGUCCUUCUAGUUGUGGCAUGUGGGACACUGCCUCAGCAUGGUUUGGUUUGAUGAGCAGUGCCAUGUCCAUGCCCAGGAUUCGAA